CUAAAAGUGAUGUACAAUCCAAG
Molecule: non-coding RNA, 23 nt
Filed under: Arabidopsis thaliana (thale cress)
Lineage: Eukaryota; Viridiplantae; Streptophyta; Magnoliopsida; Brassicales; Brassicaceae
Source: RNAcentral